This is a non-coding RNA of Anas platyrhynchos (mallard), 849 nucleotides long. The record is from RefSeq and is a predicted model, not a curated record. Lineage: Eukaryota; Metazoa; Chordata; Aves; Anseriformes; Anatidae.
UCACCGCCCUUUGAGUAAAUAAUUUCUUUCUGACAUCUAAUAUAUAUCUUCCCUCUUUCAGUUUAAAAACCUUUCCCAGAAAAAGAGAAGAAAAAAAAAAAAAAAGAGCAUAAAGUUAAUCAAUACAGAAGAUAACAUCUAAUGACCACACAUGCCAUCAGAUGCCGUACUUCACGUAUGAUCACAGCAACUGCAGUGAAAACACUUGGGCAGAAGCAGCAGCAGCAGCUGGAAGCCACAGCAUCGUUGACCCUGUGCAUCAGUGAAUUCAUGGCAGCCACAGUGCUCUGCACAGCUCGACAAUCCCAGCUAAAGCACCACUGAGCUACUAGAAGGGUAGAAAGCAGCCUCAUUUUCUUUGUGAUCGUGUUAGGAGCGAGGGGGCAAGGUCCAUUUGGCAGGGAUGUAUUUGGGAUGCCCCCACGUUUGGAGCAAAGGGCCAACUAAUGAGUUCACACCUGAAGGGCUGGCUGCAGGACUCUGCGUCCCACUGAUUCAAUAGCCAUGAGUAUAUUGUCCCUACGUUUUUGUCUUUAAACUCAUUGUUAGUCUAUGAAACACCCUUGGGACAACUCAGUUUCUUUAAGGAAGAGACUUCAUCAGGAGCUUUGAGAAAUCAAUGUACACCAUGUCUACUGGAUUAACUUUAUCUGCAUGCACACUGAUUCUGUUCUCAGAAAAAAUAAAAAAAAUAAAAAAGUAAAAAAAUAAAAAAAAACAACUAACAACAGACUUAUGAGGCAUAGUUUCCAAGCUGUGCCAGCUCAUCCCCAUUAUUUUAAAUUUGUCCAUAUGUCUACUAAUUCUCUUUUUUAUAAUGCCUCUCAAAAAUACCCCUCAAAUCAAAAU